This 300-nucleotide ribosomal RNA is filed under the name Triticum aestivum (bread wheat). Its description in RNAcentral is "partial small subunit ribosomal RNA". The record is from RNAcentral. Lineage: Eukaryota; Viridiplantae; Streptophyta; Magnoliopsida; Poales; Poaceae.
AUGGCGGUGCCACUGCUUGCUUGCUCGCUCGCUCCACAGGAGGCAGAACCACCAACAAAAAAAACAAGAGUCGAGAAUGCCCAGAUGCGGGCUGCUGCCGGCGUGCGUGCAGUCCAACAUUUGAUUUUUUUUGUUUGUUUGUGUUUUGAGGUGGUCGCGAUUCAUGGGGCACGGGCGUGCAGUGUGGCGCCCAUGUGCAUGCAGUCCGUGGAGAUGGGGUGCAGAACGACAAAUGGUGCAGUCCGCGGAGAUUUUGGUUGCUGUCCCAUGGGCGCACAUGUGCAGUGCUUGUGGGCUUAG